GGUUUACUAGCUCAGUUGGUAGAGCACAUGACUUUUAAUCAUGGCUUACCGGGGUUCGAUUCCCCGGUAAGCCACCA
This 77-nucleotide transfer RNA is filed under the name Clostridium estertheticum. Its description in RNAcentral is "tRNA-Lys". It matches the Rfam family "tRNA". Rfam says of the family: Transfer RNA (tRNA) molecules are approximately 80 nucleotides in length. Lineage: Bacteria; Bacillati; Bacillota; Clostridia; Eubacteriales; Clostridiaceae. RNAcentral also lists the same sequence under 1 other name. The record is from RNAcentral.